This 300-nucleotide unclassified non-coding RNA is filed under the name uncultured Mortierella. RNAcentral's name for it is "sequence contains 5.8S rRNA gene, ITS2". The stretch from base 1 to 71 matches the Rfam family "5.8S ribosomal RNA", at positions 84 to 154 of the family's 154-position model. Lineage: Eukaryota; Fungi; Mortierellomycota; Mortierellomycetes; Mortierellales; Mortierellaceae. The record is from RNAcentral.
GUGAAUCAUCGAAUCUUUGAACGCACAUUGCACUCUCUGGUAUUCCGGAGAGUAUGCUUGUUUGAGUAUCAGUAAACACCUCAAAUCUCUUUUUUAUUAAAGAGAAUUGGACUUGAGCAAUCCCAACUCUUUGCAAAAAGGGGCGGGUUGCUUGAAAUGCAGGUGCAGCUGGACAUUCUUCUGAGCUAAAAGCAUAUUUAUUUAGUCCCGUCAAACGGAUUAUUACUUUUGCUCUAGCUAAUAUAAAGGUCGAAUGUGCUAUAUGCUGACUGAUGCAGGAUUACCAAGUUUUACUAGCUA